Molecule: ribosomal RNA, 492 nt
Filed under: uncultured bacterium
Lineage: Bacteria
Description: partial 16S ribosomal RNA
Rfam family: Bacterial small subunit ribosomal RNA
Source: RNAcentral
AGUGAACGCUGGCGGUAGGCCUAACACAUGCAAGUCGAACGGCAGCACAGUAAGAGCUUGCUCUUACGGGUGGCGAGUGGCGGACGGGGGAGGAAUACAUCGGAAUCUACUUUUUCGUGGGGGAUAACGUAGGGAAACUUACGCUAAUACCGCAUACGACCUACGGGUGAAAGCAGGGGAUCUUCGGACCUUGCGCGAUUGAAUGAGCCGAUGUCGGAUUAGCUAGUUGGCGGGGUAAAGGCCCACCAAGGCGACGAUCCGUAGCUGGUCUGAGAGGAUGAUCAGCCACACUGGAACUGAGACACGGUCCAGACUCCUACGGGAGGCAGCAGUGGGGAAUAUUGGACAAUGGGCGCAAGCCUGAUCCAGCCAUACCGCGUGGGUGAAGAAGGCCUUCGGGUUGUAAAGCCCUUUUGUUGGGAAAGAAGAGCAGCAGGUUAAUACCCCGCUGUUCUGACGGUACCCAAAGAAUAAGCACCGGCUAACUUCGUG